CACGUAGGCACCAAGCGUUGUCCGGAUUUAUUGGGCGUAAAGAGCUCGUAGGCGGUUGAGUAAGUCGGGUGUGAAAACUCUGGGCUUAACCCAGAGCCGCCACCCGAUACUGCUCUGACUUGAGUUCGGUAGGGGAGCAGGGAAUUCCUAGUGUAGCGGUGAAAUGCGCAGAUAUUAGGAGGAACACCGGUGGCGAAGGCGCUGCUCUGGGGCCGAUACUGACGCUGAGGAGCGAAAGCGAUGGGUAG
This 248-nucleotide ribosomal RNA is filed under the name uncultured bacterium. RNAcentral describes it as "partial 16S ribosomal RNA". It matches the Rfam family "Bacterial small subunit ribosomal RNA", at positions 524 to 768 of the family's 1533-position model. The record is from RNAcentral.